AGAUGCUGCCAGGGUCCCUGAAGAGGGAAGACACGCGGAAACAGAAUACUUGGCUUUCUCUGACUCAAGUAAAUGGGCUUUUGAGCACCCUGAAACCCUCUACGCCUGGGAGGGGGCCUGCGUCUGGAUCCCCUGCACCUACAGAGCCCUAGAUGGUGCCCUGGAAAGCUUCAUCCUGUUCCACAAUCCUGAGUAUAACAAGAACACCUCGAAGUUUGACGGGACCAGACUCUAUGAAAGCACAAAGGAUGGGGAGGUUCCUUCUGAGCAGAAAAGGGUGCAAUUCCUGGGAGACAAGAGUAAGAACUGCACACUGAGUAUCCACCCGGUGCACGUCAAUGACAGUGGUCAGCUGGGGCUGAGAAUGGAGUCCAAGACUGAGAAAUGGAUGGAACGAAUACACCUCAAUGUCUCUGGUAAGGCCUUCGGGGAGCGGGUCCUCUGCUCUAGGCAGGGGUGAGUGAGAGGCAGGAAAUACCUGACUCCUGGCACAGAGCUCACAAACCGAGCUUCCUGCAGAGCUCAGGCAGGGGACGCCAGCGGAUGACGAUGGCGAUGCAGCAGCACUAGACAGAGCUGCAG
This 582-nucleotide small RNA is filed under the name Pongo abelii (Sumatran orangutan). Its description in RNAcentral is "retained intron". Lineage: Eukaryota; Metazoa; Chordata; Mammalia; Primates; Hominidae. The record is from RNAcentral.